UACGUAGGGUCCGAGCGUUGUCCGGAAUUAUUGGGCGUAAAGAGCUCGUAGGCGGCUUGUCGCGUCUGCUGUGAAAUCCCGAGGCUCAACCUCGGGUCUGCAGUGGGUACGGGCAGACUGGAGUGCGGUAGGGGAGAAUGGAAUUCCUGGUGUAGCGGUGGAAUGCGCAGAUAUCAGGAGGAACACCGAUGGCGAAGGCAGUUCUCUGGGCCGUAACUGACGCUGAGGAGCGAAAGCGUGGGGAGCGAACAGG
RNAcentral lists this ribosomal RNA (253 nucleotides) under uncultured bacterium. Its description in RNAcentral is "partial 16S ribosomal RNA". It matches the Rfam family "Bacterial small subunit ribosomal RNA", at positions 524 to 776 of the family's 1533-position model. The record is from RNAcentral.